RNAcentral lists this ribosomal RNA (253 nucleotides) under uncultured bacterium. RNAcentral describes it as "partial 16S ribosomal RNA". It matches the Rfam family "Bacterial small subunit ribosomal RNA", at positions 524 to 776 of the family's 1533-position model. The record is from RNAcentral.
UACGUAGGGCGCAAGCGUUGUCCGGACUUACUGGGCGUAAAGCGCCCGCAGGCGGCCGUGCACGUGGGGCGUGAAAGCGCUCGGCUUAACUGAGCGAGGCCAUCCCAUACGGCGCGGCUCGAGCCGUCCAGAGGCCGGUGGAAUUGCCGGUGUAGUGGUGAAAUGCGCAGAUAUCAGGAAGAACACCCGUGGCGAAGGCGGCUCUCUGGGACGGUACUGACGCUGAGACGCGAAAGCGUGGGGAGCAAACAGG